UCUUGCCGGUGCAGCGUAUAUCCCGCUAGCUGAAUAUCGAUGUCGUCAUUCAGCCAUGAUUCGGUGAAACAUAGGAUAUUACAGUUUUUGAUGUCCCGUUGGUAGGACCUCAGUACCGCGUCUAAUUUAUUGUCCAAUGAUUCCAAGUUGGCGAGUAGUAUUGACGGUAACGGCAACUUUCCCAGUCGCCUUCUCAGGGUCCUGACCAGGCAUCCGGCUCUUUGUGUUCUGUACCUGCGUCGUUUCCUCUUGCAAAUAACGGGGAUGUCGGUCCUGUGGGGUGUUUGGAGAAUGUCUUGUGUGUCGUCUUUGUUGUAGAAAAAAACUCUCUAAUCCGAGUUUCCCAGCCAACUUGACACAACUGUGGGAAGCAUUGGAGUCAACAUGGGCCAGCCUCCCUGUGGAACACUUUCGACACCUUGUAGAAUCCAUGCCCCGAUGGAUUGAGGCUGUUGGAAGGCAAAAGGGGAUUGCAGGAAAUGGCAGAUACGCAAAAUGAUUUGAGUUAUGACAUCAGUGAGAAGCCACACGGAGGAAACCUCACUCCCCGGCCAGACAUACUUGUAGAGAUUAUCUCAUCUGGCUGAGCUGUGUGUUGGUACUGUCUGCAUUGUGUUUGCCUGGGAAAGAGGACAGCCAGACCAUGAAACCAUCAGCACCUGUCCUAGAAGAGCCUCAAUGCUGAUGAGCGAGGGGAGGCUUGGGAGAGGCCAGGGGGACAGUCCCUGUGGAUUGACGGGACAGGCUGGGGCCUGAGGAGGGACAGCAGCCCUGCAGCCCCUGGGGCUCUCAAAGCUCUCUUUUAUUGGGGUUGGGGGUGCAGAGGGGGUGGCUCUGGGGCUGAUAUUGUGCUACCUGGGUGCCUGGCUGGCUGACCCCUUCUCCUCCCUGCAUCUGCUGGGUUGGCACCCCUGGGACCACAGGUUAUCUCCCUAGGAAAUCACCUUGACCUCCACACAGCAGAACAAUCAGGAAUGAGUCAACAGGCAGGCAGAGGGAUUAUAGAGCUGAAUUUAGAUAUGUGUUAGGAGAAAAGGGCAGUUCUAACUAUGAUUUCUCAAUACAGGGUCCAAUUCUGUAGCAUGCAAGCAGUUACAUGACUGACAUGGUGUAAUGCAAAAGUACUAUUUAACCAUGUAAAAUGUCGAAAAUGUUUCAGAUAUCACACUAUCAGAACUUAAAACCUACCUUACAUAAACAGACUCAAAAAACAUUCCUCUGAGGCAUAACUGGGGGAAAAGGCAAGGCUACAGUUACAUGCAUGUACAUAUUCUUAAACAACCAUGUAUAUAAUGGUACUACAUAGCACCCCUAACAUUAUCCCUAAAUACUGUGAUAUGUUAGUAAGCAUUCAGUCAGCAGCCAUUUGGCAAGGAAACGCAAUGAAAGGGCUUCUGUUGGAGAGGCAGGGUAAUAGAGAUAUGCCUAAGGCCACCCCGUUGCAGAGUGAAGCACGAACCGGCGUACACACAGAAACACACAGUCAUC
Long non-coding RNA from Oncorhynchus keta (chum salmon), 1488 nucleotides. RefSeq lists it as uncharacterized. The transcript is spliced from 3 exons. The record is from RefSeq and is a predicted model, not a curated record. Lineage: Eukaryota; Metazoa; Chordata; Actinopteri; Salmoniformes; Salmonidae.